RNAcentral lists this ribosomal RNA (445 nucleotides) under uncultured bacterium. Its description in RNAcentral is "bacterial SSU rRNA". It matches the Rfam family "Bacterial small subunit ribosomal RNA", at positions 354 to 796 of the family's 1533-position model. The record is from RNAcentral.
GUAAGGAAUAUUGGACAAUGGCCGCAAGGCUGAUCCAGCCAUGCCGCGUGAAGGAUGAAGGUGCUAUGCAUUGUAAACUUCUUUUGUCCCGGAAUAAACCCCUGAUUUCUAUCGGGGCUGAAUGUACGGGAAGAAUAAGGGACGGCUAACUUCGUGCCAGCAGCCGCGGUAAUACGAAGGUCCCAAGCGUUAUCCGGAUUUAUUGGGUUUAAAGGGUGCGUAGGCGGGUUGUUAAGUCAGUGGUGAAAGCCUACAGCUUAACUGUAGAAUUGCCAUUGAUACUGACGAUCUUGAGUAUGGUUGAGGAGGGCGGAAUGUGUCAUGUAGCGGUGAAAUGCUUAGAUAUGACACAGAACACCGAUUGCGAAGGCAGCUCUCUAAGCCAAUACUGACGCUGAUGCACGAAAGCGUGGGGAGCAAACAGGAUUAGAAACCCUGGUAGUCC